Long non-coding RNA from Xenopus tropicalis (tropical clawed frog), 521 nucleotides. RefSeq lists it as uncharacterized. The record is from RefSeq and is a predicted model, not a curated record. Lineage: Eukaryota; Metazoa; Chordata; Amphibia; Anura; Pipidae. The transcript has 3 exons.
UUUUUAAACUGUCUUGGAUCAUUCCAACCUGGUUACAAAGAAUAGGCAGCACCUAAACAGACACAAAUGACAUUUCACUCUGCACCCUACAAUGCAUUGUGGCACAUUUUGUCUUUGCCCCAUAUUGUAUCUGUUAAAAUGAAUAAGUGCACGUACAGUAUAAAUACAGUGAAAUAGUAGGUAGGAAGUGUCACUAAUGAUCUCUUGGGAUUUUGCUUUUUAGGGAUCAUUUCAUCAAUCAAUAUUAUGUUGAUUAUGAUAUUGGACAUCUGAGGGACAUGGCCCACUUCAUUGUAAUGGAUGCCUAUAGGAAACAACUUGAGGAGCUGGAGAUCACGCUUUAUGGCAUCCAUAAAGUCCUGGCUUUAUCGGAACAGGAGCAUGACGUGGAGCAUAUUUUGGACCAAUAUGAAGAGACGCAGCAAGCCCGGCGAGUAAGUUUCCUGCCCACUUUUACUAUUUCAGGAGAUUUUUAUGGGUGUUUUGUUGCUGAAUUCUGAAGGACACAGUUAAUGCUAGUC